GUACAGUUCUUCAUAGUACAUACUGUCAAGGACAUUUCUGCAGUGUGCGAAAUUUACGCUGGUCCUGUGGUCCCUGGCUAGUACAAAUUCACCAGGACCACUAAAUGAAAUUUGCAGUGGUCCUGGACGCCAG
Haliotis rubra (blacklip abalone) is the source of this 133-nucleotide long non-coding RNA. RefSeq lists it as uncharacterized. The transcript is spliced from 3 exons. NCBI's taxonomy places the organism in Eukaryota, Metazoa, Mollusca, Gastropoda, Lepetellida, Haliotidae. The record is from RefSeq and is a predicted model, not a curated record.